UGGCGAGAUCACAUGCUUAGCGUGUAAAGGUAAUACUGAUCCAAAAUAUCUUGCAUUUGGGAAAAGCAAUGAUUAUUUUAAUCUCCAAGAGAAGUUAAGAACAAGUCACAACCAAAAAGGAAAGAAUUUGAAAGACAAUCCCACUGCUUGAUAGAACUACUCCUCCUGAAGAUGUAUACCUCACUGUCUUGAGCUACACAACCUCCAGAUCACAACUGCUUCCUAGCACAGAUGCUGUGAACACACAGAGGGAGUUCCUUCACUGCAGAGAUGUGAGCAUAAAUCAGUCCUUGCAGUACACAAAGCCGCACACAAAUGCACAACGAUUCAUGCUACUGCAUGAAGCCCCU
Gallus gallus (chicken) is the source of this 350-nucleotide long non-coding RNA. NCBI's taxonomy places the organism in Eukaryota, Metazoa, Chordata, Aves, Galliformes, Phasianidae. The record is from Ensembl.